AUGAUCGCUUCAGUCAAACAGCAUUUGUUGCGUGUCCAGCAGAGAAUGAAGCAUCAGGCAGACAAGAAACGGACUGAACGAGUUUUUGCUGUCAACGAUCUAGUGUUCCUCAAACUGCAACCAUACGUGCAAUCGUCAGUUGUCAGAAGAGCCAACCAUAAGCUUUCAUUCAAGUAUUUUGGUCCUUACAAGAUACUCGACAAAAUUGGAGAUGUUGCCUACCGACUGGAGCUGCCUCCUGACAGUCGCAUACACCCAGUGUUUCAUGUGUCUCAGCUCAAGAAGUUCAUUCCACCAACGACUCAGGUGCAAACAUAUCUGGCCGCAAGACAGUGA
This 336-nucleotide ribosomal RNA is filed under the name Triticum aestivum (bread wheat). RNAcentral describes it as "partial small subunit ribosomal RNA". The record is from RNAcentral. Lineage: Eukaryota; Viridiplantae; Streptophyta; Magnoliopsida; Poales; Poaceae.